RNAcentral lists this ribosomal RNA (1106 nucleotides) under Streptococcus thermophilus. RNAcentral describes it as "bacterial SSU rRNA". It matches the Rfam family "Bacterial small subunit ribosomal RNA", at positions 355 to 1454 of the family's 1533-position model. The record is from RNAcentral. Lineage: Bacteria; Bacillati; Bacillota; Bacilli; Lactobacillales; Streptococcaceae.
UAGGGAAUCUUCGGCAAUGGGGGCAACCCUGACCGAGCAACGCCGCGUGAGUGAAGAAGGUUUUCGGAUCGUAAAGCUCUGUUGUAAGUCAAGAACGGGUGUGAGAGUGGAAAGUUCACACUGUGACGGUAGCUUACCAGAAAGGGACGGCUAACUACGUGCCAGCAGCCGCGGUAAUACGUAGGUCCCGAGCGUUGUCCGGAUUUAUUGGGCGUAAAGCGAGCGCAGGCGGUUUGAUAAGUCUGAAGUUAAAGGCUGUGGCUCAACCAUAGUUCGCUUUGGAAACUGUCAAACUUGAGUGCAGAAGGGGAGAGUGGAAUUCCAUGUGUAGCGGUGAAAUGCGUAGAUAUAUGGAGGAACACCGGUGGCGAAAGCGGCUCUCUGGUCUGUAACUGACGCUGAGGCUCGAAAGCGUGGGGAGCGAACAGGAUUAGAUACCCUGGUAGUCCACGCCGUAAACGAUGAGUGCUAGGUGUUGGAUCCUUUCCGGGAUUCAGUGCCGCAGCUAACGCAUUAAGCACUCCGCCUGGGGAGUACGACCGCAAGGUUGAAACUCAAAGGAAUUGACGGGGGCCCGCACAAGCGGUGGAGCAUGUGGUUUAAUUCGAAGCAACGCGAAGAACCUUACCAGGUCUUGACAUCCCGAUGCUAUUUCUAGAGAUAGAAAGUUACUUCGGUACAUCGGUGACAGGUGGUGCAUGGUUGUCGUCAGCUCGUGUCGUGAGAUGUUGGGUUAAGUCCCGCAACGAGCGCAACCCCUAUUGUUAGUUGCCAUCAUUCAGUUGGGCACUCUAGCGAGACUGCCGGUAAUAAACCGGAGGAAGGUGGGGAUGACGUCAAAUCAUCAUGCCCCUUAUGACCUGGGCUACACACGUGCUACAAUGGUUGGUACAACGAGUUGCGAGUCGGUGACGGCGAGCUAAUCUCUUAAAGCCAAUCUCAGUUCGGAUUGUAGGCUGCAACUCGCCUACAUGAAGUCGGAAUCGCUAGUAAUCGCGGAUCAGCACGCCGCGGUGAAUACGUUCCCGGGCCUUGUACACACCGCCCGUCACACCACGAGAGUUUGUAACACCCGAAGUCGGUGAGGUAACCUUUUGGAGCCAGCC